UUAUUAUUAUUAUUUAAAAAAAAAUUGUUGUUGUAAAUACAUUUUAUUGCAUUUAUUUAUUGGUAGGGGGUGUGGUGCAUGUGCACGUGCUAACGAAUGGAUGAUCAUCAGGCAAAGCAGCUGCCCCUACAGCGCGAGUAAGAGAAAAUCAAUCUGGCAUCUGACGGACGAUGGGAUGAAUGUGGAGGUGAAGUUUUGAGAUCUGCUUGAAAAGAAGUUUUCCUGGCAUCUCUCUGACUCAAGUGAAUACAGUGAGAGGAGUUUGAAAAGAUGGACUGUGACCAUGAGGAUGAACGCAGUGGCCAGUCACCAACUGGAUCGGAAUCCAACUUUCGUGAAGAUAAGCUGCAAGAUAGUUCAGUUCUUAGUACAUCAGCUUUUCAGCACACUGCAUCAUCUCUUGUAAAAGACUUGGAAUCUACUAGAACAUGUCUAAAGGAUAGUGAAUUAUCACCAACUGAUGAACUUUCUGGGAAGGAAAACUUGUGUCUUAUUUCCCCUCUUAGCAAAUCGAAACCACUAGCAUUUGAUGUGCAUAUCAAAGAAGUCCCAACAGAUUUGAAAAAUCCAUUUCAGAAUGUUCUAAACCCACCUGGCAGUGACAUCAGCAACGCUUUUCCUGUCUGCGUUCAACUACCCACAAACCAUCUUAAAAAGUCACAUAUCACUGCUUAUAAACCAACACACCAUCAUCGCAAAAUCAGCCGGUCCUCCACCUCCACACUGAGUCGUAUGAGCCUGAAAGCCCCUGUUGAAGGUAAGCAACACCUCAAAUUACAUUUGACUCAAUGAAAUGAGGGAUUCAAUUUUUAUGACAUCUAAUGCAUUAUAGAUGCUGAAAUCCUCGCUAGCACGACUGACGAGCUUUCCCUCUUCCUGUCAUCUUUUAUUGUAUGAUGAUAAAUUGAUGAGGAUGCACACCAAACUUUGUGUGGUGCUGAUUAGUAGUAUAAAGGCUCUUAAACUUACAAAACAGGACAGCAGUUUUAUGAUGAGCUACACUGUCAGCAAAGCUGCUUUAUUUGUGGUUACCACAUCAAUAUUUUGUCAGUGAUUCAGCCAUUAAUGGAAUAUUCUAUGUUCAAUACAAGGUAAGCUCAGCCGGCACUUGUGUCAUAAUAGUGUUGAUUGCCACAAAAAUUAAUUUAGACUUUUCUUUAAAAAGUGAGACACAAAGUAAGCGAAUGAGGCC
This is a long non-coding RNA of Cyprinus carpio carpio, 1192 nucleotides long. NCBI's taxonomy places the organism in Eukaryota, Metazoa, Chordata, Actinopteri, Cypriniformes, Cyprinidae. The record is from Ensembl.